AUUAAACGCUGGCGGCAUGCCUUACACAUGCAAGUCGAACGGCAGCACGGGGGCAACCCUGGUGGCGAGUGGCGAACGGGUGAGUAAAGCAUCGGAACGUGCCCUGGAGUGGGGGAUAACGUAGCGAAAGUUACGCUAAUACCGCAUAUUCUGUGAGCAGGAAAGCAGGGGAUCGCAAGACCUUGCGCUCUGGGAGCGGCUGAUGUCGGAUUAGCUAGUUGGUGGGGUAAAGGCCUACCAAGGCGACGAUCCGUAGCGGGUCUGAGAGGAUGAUCCGCCACACUGGGACUGAGACACGGCCCAGACUCCUACGGGAGGCAGCAGUGGGGAAUUUUGGGACAAUGGGCGAAAGCCUGAUCCAGCCAUGCCGCGUGAGUGAAGAAGGCCU
Molecule: ribosomal RNA, 388 nt
Filed under: uncultured bacterium
Lineage: Bacteria
Description: bacterial SSU rRNA
Rfam family: Bacterial small subunit ribosomal RNA
Source: RNAcentral